UUUGGAUUCUUAAGGAGGUGGCCUGGAAGCUGUAUGAAGCUCCUGUCCUCAAAGGCCCAGGUCUGGAAUGAAUGGUGAACAGCAGUUCCUGUCUGGGCAGAGGGGAGCUAGACAGAGGUAUCAGGCAGCUUGGUGGGUCUUCUCCGUGCUUGGGGUGCCUCCUGGAGGAAGAUAAAGACCUGCAAGACUCCAUCAUGCUGAUCCAUGGGUUCACCGAAAAAUUGUGGCUUUUCCUCCACCCUUGACCGUCGGCCCUCCCUGCGUGGAAGUGCAUGAGCCUGUUUCCACUGAGAAGACUGGCCUCUGCCACCAGCACUACUGACCCCUCCCAUCUAGCCCUUUUCCUAUUCCAGAUGGUGACACUACCCACCAGGGCUUACUUCAGAGCAGGAAAUUGAGAAACUAUAUCACAGAUCUGAUGUCCAGGGCCAGAGAAUUAACAUGUUCAUCUCCAAGCCUGGUACCAAGUCCCUUCACAAAAAUACAGAUGCCACCUUCAGGAAGCCUCCACGAGAAAGUGGAGGCAGCCAGGGAAGCCUUGGCAAGGGAAACCACACAGCGGCGCCGUCCCCAGCGCAAGUUUGCCUUGGUUCAGGAGCUCAGUGGGCAAGCCCUGGGGGCUGGCUGGGAAAGGAAGUUGAUGAGCAGCUACGGAGGGGCGUCCAGUCUGCAUGAGGACUCAGAGCUUCUCAGGCAGAGAGCCAUCUGAGCCAUCAUGUGGGCCAUAACGUGACUCACUCUGGGUCCAUUGAGAGCAUCAUCCGCGUGGGCCUACCUCAAACCUCUUUCACCAGCACUCCAGCCUUGCUCUUCCAGUUCCCAGAGGAUGGAAAGCCCUGCUUUGGAUUACAGCUGGAGCAGGGCAGGAGAACUGCAGCCCCCCCCCAGGAAUGCUGAAGGACCCGUAGAGGAGAGCCAUCUCUCACGCAUGGAACUUGGAGCCAGCACUCUGCCCAGAAGUGGGGCUGGCUGAGGUCAGGGUCUAUGUGUUGCUCAGGAGGUGAAUGGUGUCUCCUUUGUCCUGCUGGACGUUUUCAGGUGCAUCUUUCAGUAGCUCAAUCACAGCACUUCCAAAAUAAAUCAGUGGAUGAUGCCUGCCCCAAUAAAUGCCUCUUCCUUCCCAGGACACCAUCACUUCCAGUAACUUUUUCAUGUUUUUUGGAGUAAAAACCUUGGAACCAUUUUGAAAUCCUUUCUCCUUUCUCUACUAAAUCUGAUCAAAUACCCAGCUGGUCUUUUCCUUCAUCUCUAUCUGAUCAUUUUGAUCCUCCUUUGGCAUGUUUGCUGAUACCACCAAGCUCUGCAGCUGGUCCCCCUUAUCCCUCAUCUGUGGAUUACUAGCAUAAGUCACCUUCUGGACUUGGUGUCUCCAGGGUAGGGUGUCUGAGACAAUCUAUGGGGUAGGGGAAGCAAAUAUAGAAUUUCUGUUAUAUAUAUCUUCAACUAAAAAUUAGAAAUCCAAUGUUACU
Molecule: long non-coding RNA, 1469 nt
Filed under: Homo sapiens (human)
Lineage: Eukaryota; Metazoa; Chordata; Mammalia; Primates; Hominidae
Description: HSALNT0049407
Source: RNAcentral